This 61-nucleotide transfer RNA is filed under the name Platorchestia sp. AKP-2018. RNAcentral's name for it is "tRNA-Phe". The record is from RNAcentral. Lineage: Eukaryota; Metazoa; Arthropoda; Malacostraca; Amphipoda; Talitridae.
AUUGAAAUAGCUUAUAAAGAGUUUUACAUUGAAGCUGUAAAGGAGGUUAUAUCUUUCAAUA